This is a non-coding RNA of Oryza barthii, 204 nucleotides long. Lineage: Eukaryota; Viridiplantae; Streptophyta; Magnoliopsida; Poales; Poaceae. The record is from Rfam.
AAAAAAGCAAACCCUAAGUUUCCAUGUCCAACUUUGAGUGUCCGUCUUAUAUAAAAUUUGUUUAUAAUUCGUAAUUUUAUUGUAGUUAGAUGAUAAAAUAUGAUUAAUAUUUUAUACGUGACUUGUCUUUUUAAUUUUUUUAUAAUUUUUUUAAAUAAGACGGACGGUUAAACGUUGGGCACGGAAACUAGGGUUUAUCUUUUU